RNAcentral lists this long non-coding RNA (1826 nucleotides) under Nicotiana benthamiana. RNAcentral describes it as "long non-coding RNA (NBEN_LNC035717)". The record is from RNAcentral. Lineage: Eukaryota; Viridiplantae; Streptophyta; Magnoliopsida; Solanales; Solanaceae.
CUAAUACUAUUUAAUUGAACAAAUUUAUUAAUCUACACGUGGUUAUCUUCCACACAACAGGUAUACCAACAAAUACACAAGCAGAUUUUCCAUUAAUCAAACAAGUCUCUGAACAGUGCAUUCCAUCAUUGAUGCUUACAUGUGAAGAUUCAGUAGUGUACCUGGAAAUAGCAAGGAACGAGGAAGAUGAAUGAAUCAGCAAUUAACGAUAUCUAGCGAUUAAACAGCAGCAACAAGCAACAGGAUGCAACAGCAUAGUUCAAAAACCCAGAAAUCCAGCAGCAAUAAUAGACCCAGGAAUGCCAAAUAUAAAACCGACAAUUUGGAAAUCCAGCAAAACCAUGAACCAGCAGGAAUAAACCCCAAACCAAUUCAAAACAAAUCCCAGAUCAAGCUAAUAGACGGAACUCCAAAAGAAAAUCCUGACUUUACCCACAACCAAUGAAACAAUGGAAAUUUUUGUUGUUUUCUAUUUUCUGUAUGUAUUUUUUUUUUGUACUUUUUGUGUAGUUGAAUGCAGAGGCUAAUCUAGAGCUAAAAAGGAAAAGACAAAUGGAUUUCUUAUGGAAUUUUUUAGCUGAAAGUUGAAGACCCCUUCCUCAAGGCAAUUAGUGACCUUUUAUAAGAGUAAAAAGGGCAGCCCUAAGAUUUUAGGCUUGCACUAUCAGUCCCUGAUUAUUUACAACUUUUAACCAUCAAUUUUAAACUUUCCAAACAAGUUACUGCCGUAAUUCUAUUUAAAACCACACUAAGGUCCUAUUCUAGAAGCCUCUAUGGCACUCUUUUAGCAAGAUAAUUCCUACACAACCCUUCCCCUGUUUUAAAAUUACAAAUCCUAAAGAUUCUACCCUUUUCUAUCCCUAAAAAGCCCUUGACCAGCCCCUAAAAUUGCUGAGUUAACUACACCCAUCCCUUACCCCAGUUAAAGUUUAAACCAAGUUAACUAAUCAAAACUUCUCAGCUAUAUUCAAAACAACCAAUUAACACUACUCCGAACCAUACUAAUAUUAAACUAAACCUAAAACAAAUUUAAACCAGAUUCCAAGUCAAAUUCCUCAUGAACAGAAUUGAAGAGAUACACUAAUUACCAGUGACCAAUUAAGCAAUCAAGAUCAAUACGAAAGAAAAAAUUAAUCUUACGCUUAUAACUAACCAAUACGGACAGAAAAUUAGUGACCGGAACUAAUUAAUUAUGACGAUUCUAGAACUAAGGCUAUGAUUUAACUAAAAUAAAACAAAAACAUGAAUAACAGAACAAACUAACACUUAGGCAGGAUUCAUUGAUUAAAGAAACGAGUAAACGAAUCGGAAUCGACAUUAAACUAUCAUAGUAAAAUAAGCAACCAAUCAAGCAUAACAAUAAACUCAAUUAAACAAAACAAACAACUACACAGAAAUGGAUCGAUUGACCGGAGAGAAGGAGAAGAAAGAAAUUAAACUGUACUAACUAAAAUAAAACCAAAACGUUGCAGAAACUUACUAGAAAAGACACUCAAUCGAGAAAACUGCCCAAAACUGGCAUGGAUCGUGUGAACCCUAGAUGUGGACUUGAGGGAGAACUGUUGAAAUUUGAAGUACCCUGGAUUUGAGGUGUGGAAGAUGGAUAGACCCUCUGGUAGCAAUUUGGGCUUGUUUGGAUGAAUUUGAGACUUGGCCGCAAUUUUCGAUUUGAUUUUCGAGACGAUUGGUUGAUAUUCGAUGGCCAAUGUUUACAUAUUUGGACUGAGGGAUUUGAAGAGCUUCAGGGGUGUGAUUUUGGCGGUGAUUGGAGGUGGCGCCGCCACCGGUGGCUUGGGAUUUUGAGGGCGGCACUAUUAUGGUUCCUG